Molecule: long non-coding RNA, 2498 nt
Filed under: Equus caballus (horse)
Lineage: Eukaryota; Metazoa; Chordata; Mammalia; Perissodactyla; Equidae
Description: lncRNA (ENSECAG00000040079.3)
Source: RNAcentral
GUUUAAUACUCCACAGAAAAAAAAAAAAAGAACCAUGGAAUUCUGAGUCCCACCUGUUAAAUUAUUUGUCCUUCUAAUAGAAGCAGGAAUGAAAGGCGUAUGUUCAACAUCAUUUUGGACCCAUUUUCUGUGGCGGGAAACCAAGGUCCUGCACUAGGCAUUGCAGAUAUGAAGAUGAACUGGAUACAGAGCCCGAUUUCAGGGAGUCACAAGAGUGUGUGCUUAGUGCUGUGAGAGAGAACUUCCCCCUAGACAAAGGACAUCUAGACCAGCCUGGAGGGAGCAGACCCUGUUAAUAUCUCUGAGCUCAUUGCUUUUCUGGAAGAACAUGUUCCGAGUUCCAAUUUGGGAUGAUUCAAAACCUACGUCUGCCCCAGGCUUGAGGACAGCCUCCUGUGAUGAAGGGACAGACCGCCGGUGUGGCUAGUUCAGUCCAGAGUCCGUGUGUCUUCCGUGCUGAAGUUCAAAGCCAUGGUUCCUGUGUGUUCCUUAACAUGAUACAGGUGGGCCUUCAUUGGAAACACCUUCUGCUCCGCCAGCUCAGUUCUCAUGAAAACAAACAAUGGUGCCCUUUGCCCAAGUCGGAAGAGGAGGCUGUGAAAUCGCCAUGAGCUUCCCGUGCAGGCCACAGCUUCAAUCAGGUCCUUCUGCUGGGGCGCCUGGGAUGGGUCACACCCUUUGCCUCCUCUCUCUGGAUGGCAUUUCUAAGUCACACCAGGGGCUCUGGGCAUUGAGGCUUGGGAUACCCAUCUCCUGAGCCCUUCUUCCUGGGAAGAUGCCAGGGGCCAAAGCCAGGUGGACGCCAGCUCAGCCUCUACACUCUCAGUCCCAACUGGGUGUGAUCACUGCAGAGCUCCUCUGGGGUGGAGAGAAAGAAGAAAUAAAAGAGCCCUUCUUUAUAUAAAAUUGGAUUUUAACAUUCUCCAAAGUGGUGGCAGCCCCUGGAUUGCAAAUGAAAAGCACCCAGUUUUCCCAGAGAAUAAUCUGGAAGAGGGAAGUGGAGGUGAAUGGCCUCCUUCUGUAAUGGUAAGAACUUCUCCCCAGCCACCUCCAGAAGACAGAGAGAGGCAUCUGGGGGUCGGGGAUGUGAGUUGGCAAGAAGCUGGGAGACGUGACAGCCAGAGAGAUUGGGAGCGGAGACGUGCACCGCCCGGCGCCCUUCACUCAUGUCCUCCCUGGCCUGGGGCUCGGCAAGGCUCCUGCUGUUCCUUCCAUCUUCUCCAAGUGCUGAGAAUGAGGCGAAAGAGGAAGCAAUAGGGUAAAAAGAUACUGAGGACCUCCAAACUCAGAAGUGUUUGUUGAUUGAUUCAUUCAUCAUUCAGAAAGAGCGAGUACCUACUGCACGUCAAACCCACAGCCAAGGCUGGAGGUGCAGAGAUAAAUGAUUCACAGUUGGUGUCUCCAAGAAGCUCCCAGUCUAAGGACCCAAGAAGAAGCUGCAUCUCGCCAAGAGUCUUGGAAUUCUGGCUACAUUCGUAUUUGGGCUUCCUUACUCAUUGUUGAUUUACUGCAUCAAUCUUUUCCAAUGGAUUGGGAGCAUCAAUAUUUUGUAAGAUGAUAGAAAUUGAUAUAACCUGUGUAACCGAGAGGAUUGAAUUAGGUAGAAUCUCUGCCUCAGGGCGGGGCCUGGAGUGAGCCAAGCAAGAUGCUUAUGAGACAAAAUCUAUGGAGGUGUCAUUUUUAAGGUCAUGCUAGUGCAGGGUCUGCCUAAUAUUGGGUUGACAGACUUUGUGCAAGUCAUUUAAACUCCAUGAACUUCAGCUUCCCAUCUGUAAAUCAGGGACAUGCCUACUCAUGGAGCUGUUGAAAAAUUAAUAAUAUAAUGCUUGCAAAAGUGCGUUAUAAACUAUAAAUGGCAUAUAAACACGUGUUGGUUUUAUCAAUAGUAGUAAUAAUAAUUAUUUAUGAUCUUUUUCAUUAAUUCAUCAAUGACAUUAAAAAUAACCAUAACCAAAACAUUCUUUGUGGCAAAUGCAACACAUUAUACUGGAAAAUGGAAUAGAGAAACGGAAGGAUCUGGUAUGCUUUGUAAGAGGCGGUAGUUAAGUAAUGAAAGAUUUUGAGCUGUGAACUCAGACAGACUUGGAUUUUAAUCCCAGCUCUAUCACUUACAAAUGUUUAACCUAAACUCUGAAGUCUCCAUUUCCUCAUUUGUGAAAGGGGAAUAAUAAUAAUGGACUCAUAGGGUUGUUACUGAGGAUUAAAUGAGAUAAUGUGUGUAAUACUCAGCAUUUUGCAGGCCCGUAGAGAGCACUACAUAGAUGUGAGCUACUAUCGUUGUGUGGGGACCCCAGCACAACCAAUUCCUCCUACAGGCCAGAAUGUCUUCUGAGAUACUAAGCUUUUUCCAGUUUCCUUAGCUGAGGUCAUAUUACACAAUGCUAAGUCGCAAAGAUGCUUUUCCUACAGGCUUGAUUUUAGGAAUAAUUAUACUAAAUGUUGUUCCUUCUUUCCUAAGUUUCUCCAGAAUUAUAGCUGUGGUGUAAGUACCCAAGAGU